RNAcentral lists this ribosomal RNA (1342 nucleotides) under uncultured bacterium. RNAcentral describes it as "bacterial SSU rRNA". It matches the Rfam family "Bacterial small subunit ribosomal RNA", at positions 28 to 1381 of the family's 1533-position model. The record is from RNAcentral.
GACGAACGCUGGCGGCGUGCUUAACACAUGCAAGUCGAACGAUGAUGCCCAGCUUGCUGGGUGGAUUAGUGGCGAACGGGUGAGUAACACGUGAGUAACCUGCCCCUGACUCUGGGAUAAGCGUUGGAAACGACGUCUAAUACUGGAUAUGAUCACUGGCCGCAUGGUCUGGUGGUGGAAAGAUUUUUUGGUUGGGGAUGGACUCGCGGCCUAUCAGCUUGUUGGUGAGGUAAUGGCUCACCAAGGCGACGACGGGUAGCCGGCCUGAGAGGGUGACCGGCCACACUGGGACUGAGACACGGCCCAGACUCCUACGGGAGGCAGCAGUGGGGAAUAUUGCACAAUGGGCGAAAGCCUGAUGCAGCAACGCCGCGUGAGGGAUGACGGCCUUCGGGUUGUAAACCUCUUUUAGUAGGGAAGAAGCGAAAGUGACGGUACCUGCAGAAAAAGCACCGGCUAACUACGUGCCAGCAGCCGCGGUAAUACGUAGGGUGCAAGCGUUGUCCGGAAUUAUUGGGCGUAAAGAGCUCGUAGGCGGUUUGUCGCGUCUGCUGUGAAAUCCCGAGGCUCAACCUCGGGCUUGCAGUGGGUACGGGCAGACUAGGGUGCGGUAGGGGAGAUUGGAAUUCCUGGUGUAGCGGUGGAAUGCGCAGAUAUCAGGAGGAACACCGAUGGCGAAGGCAGAUCUCUGGGCCGUAACUGACGCUGAGGAGCGAAAGCAUGGGGAGCGAACAGGAUUAGAUACCCUGGUAGUCCAUGCCGUAAACGUUGGGCGCUAGAUGUAGGGACCUUUCCACGGUUUCUGUGUCGUAGCUAACGCAUUAAGCGCCCCGCCUGGGGAGUACGGCCGCAAGGCUAAAACUCAAAGGAAUUGACGGGGGCCCGCACAAGCGGCGGAGCAUGCGGAUUAAUUCGAUGCAACGCGAAGAACCUUACCAAGGCUUGACAUACACCGGAAACGGCCAGAGAUGGUCGCCCCCUUGUGGUCGGUGUACAGGUGGUGCAUGGUUGUCGUCAGCUCGUGUCGUGAGAUGUUGGGUUAAGUCCCGCAACGAGCGCAACCCUCGUUCUAUGUUGCCAGCGGGUUAUGCCGGGGACUCAUAGGAGACUGCCGGGGUCAACUCGGAGGAAGGUGGGGAUGACGUCAAAUCAUCAUGCCCCUUAUGUCUUGGGCUUCACGCAUGCUACAAUGGCCGGUACAAAGGGCUGCGAUACCGUAAGGUGGAGCGAAUCCCAAAAAGCCGGUCUCAGUUCGGAUUGAGGUCUGCAACUCGACCUCAUGAAGUCGGAGUCGCUAGUAAUCGCAGAUCAGCAACGCUGCGGUGAAUACGUUCCCGGGCCU